CGGAAUAGCCAUUAGAAAUGGUGGGUAAAACUGUAUAAUCCCCGAGGGGGAAAGAUUUAUCGCUAUUAGAUGAGCCUACGUUAGAUUAGCUAGUUGGUGAGGUAAUGGCUUACCAAGGCUAUGAUCUAUAGCUGGUCUGAGAGGACGAUCAGCCACACUGGAACUGAGAUACGGUCCAGACUCCUACGGGAGGCAGCAGUGGGGAAUAUUGGACAAUGGGCGAAAGCCUGAUCCAGCUAUGCCGCGUGAGUGAAGAAGGCCUUCGGGUUGUAAAACUCUUUCAAUAGGGAAGAUAAUGACGGUACCUAUAGAAGAAGUCCCGGCAAACUCUGUGCCAGCAGCCGCGGUAAUACGGAGGGGGCAAGCGUUGUUCGGAAUUAUUGGGCGUAAAGGGCACGUAGGUGGACUAGUAAGUUAAAAGUGAAAUACCAAAGCUUAACUUUGGAGCGGCUUUUAAUACUGCUAGACUAGAGGUCGAAAGAGGAUAGCGGAAUUCCUAGUGUAGAGGUGAAAUUCGUAGAUAUUAGGAGAAACACCAGUGGCGAAGG
This 548-nucleotide ribosomal RNA is filed under the name Ehrlichia canis. RNAcentral's name for it is "bacterial SSU rRNA". It matches the Rfam family "Bacterial small subunit ribosomal RNA", at positions 139 to 721 of the family's 1533-position model. The record is from RNAcentral. Lineage: Bacteria; Pseudomonadati; Pseudomonadota; Alphaproteobacteria; Rickettsiales; Anaplasmataceae.